Molecule: long non-coding RNA, 1774 nt
Organism: Trifolium pratense (red clover)
Lineage: Eukaryota; Viridiplantae; Streptophyta; Magnoliopsida; Fabales; Fabaceae
Exons: 3
Source: RefSeq, a predicted model, not a curated record
GUGAAGUCAGCAAAAUCACUUCUUCUAUGAAGUAUGGUCAACCGUCCAAUAGAAUGCUAGCUCAUGCCACAUCAGCAAUAGUGUAUAAUGAGGGUGUAUGGUGAGUCCUUUAUUAAAACUUUUAGUUAUUGCAAAACAGUCCCCUAUAAACUUAAUAAUAAUUUUAUAGUUUACAAAUAAAAACAAGUUUUAUUUAUCAAUUAAACUGGAUUAAAAUUUACAAAAAAUAAGAAAGUUUUAAUAUAUAAACAAAUUAAUUUUGCAAUUGAAAACCCUAAAUUCCCAAAUCCAUCGUCUUCUUCAUUCUCAAACGUAUCCCUGCAUCUCCUCCAUCCAUCGAACUCUUCGUAUCUCAUCCAUCGUAACCUUCCCUGUCCAUCUACCCCAUCGUAUUGACGUACUCCAUCGUACUUGUCUUUCUCCCCCAUCUCCUCAGUCGUAUUCUUCUUUCUCCUGAAUCGCCUACCAUCGAUGGUAUUGUUCAUCUUCCCCUUCGAUUAGCAAAUUUGUGGUUGUGGUUUAUUUCGAGUCGUAUGGAAAUACAAAAAUGUUCGUCUUUCUCCGGUUCGAAACAAGGGUUCAGCGUCGUCGUGGAAUUUCACAGUUAGCAAUGAAAGCAAUGGGUCAACUGUGAUCUUUAUACAUAAAUCAUCUGAGUAGAGAAAUGAAACAGAGGAGCUAAACAAUUGACAAGUUUGAACUACAAUACAGCCAUUGCAAAAGGGCUUAAUCGUGUGAAUGGGGCACAAGACUUAGAAUAUGAAAUGGUUGACUGUAAAGUUAAGUUAAGUUAAGCUCAUCUAAUAAAACUUGCAUAGUAUGUUAUGCUUGAGUUGUAUAAUGUAAAAUAUUUUGUUACAAUACAGGGUUGUUUAAUGUAACUUAAGUGAUUAAACAAACAAUUAUUAUAAUCAAUAAUGUUACAAAAAUUAUUAUAAUUUGUGUUAUAUAUAUAAUGUAUUUGAUAUGUAAUUUGAGCCUACAUUUGACAUGCAUGAUGUUAUCAAAUGAAUACUUUUUAAUUUGUUUUAUUUGGAAAUAUCUAAUGGUGACACAACGGUAAAAUUGUGCGCUAUGUGUGUGUUGUUUAUAAUAUUCUAAGCAUCUGUUGGUUGAUAAUUGUGAGCAUGUGUUCAUAUAGUUGUAGUCACUUCUCAUUCUCAUUUUUUGAAUAAUGGCCAGCUAGAUUGAGGAUUCGAUGAAAACUUUAAUGUUAAUUGUGUUGUUUGAUACUAAGUUAAACUUGCAGAUAUUAACCAAAGUUUUGUUAUUAUUUGCAGCAUGGUGAUUUAGAGAUGGAUUCAAAAGAUGAAAGAGAAGAUGUAAAUGGUAAAGUUCGUUUUCAUUAGCCAAACAAAAGAGGGAAGGUUUGUUUGUAGUGUCUUCGUGGCUUAGGUGGAGAAGGCCUUCUCAUCUUUGUGGAAGAUUUGAAUCACAAUGGGGUGUAUUGUUAUGCAAAGCAAAAAAACGUGAAGGAUAUGUAGCAAUUUAAAGGCAAAUGAAAAGCUUGGAAGGUGGGGAGUUAAUGAAGCUAAAGGCUAAGGGCUUUGGAAGUUGGUUUACUUGGGGUGUGUACAACACUCAAGUGUAAAAUUCUCACGGUUAAAGAGGCCUAGAAUCCCAAAAGUUGUCAGUUUUUUGGUGUGCUCAAUGUAACCUAUUUUGGUUAAAAACAACAUGUAUUGUUGUGUUACAAAAAAAAAUACAUGAUUUUUUUUCGUUUUUAUUAAUUUGUUUAUUGUUGUUUUAUUUGUGUAUAUGUAUAAAUAAUGGA